CGGGUUGUAGCUCAGUCUGGUAGAGUACCUGAAUGGGGUUCAGGUGGUCGGAGGUUCGAAUCCUCUCAACCCGA
This 74-nucleotide transfer RNA is filed under the name Fibrobacterales bacterium. RNAcentral's name for it is "tRNA-Pro". It matches the Rfam family "tRNA". Rfam says of the family: Transfer RNA (tRNA) molecules are approximately 80 nucleotides in length. Their secondary structure includes four short double-helical elements and three loops (D, anti-codon, and T loops). Lineage: Bacteria; Pseudomonadati; Fibrobacterota; Fibrobacteria; Fibrobacterales. The record is from RNAcentral.